GCCGGGUGUGGUGGUGCAUGCCUGUAAUCCCAGCAGCUUGGGAGGCUGAGGCAAGAGGAUCACGAGUUCAAAGCCAGCCUUGGCAAUGGUGCGUUAAACAACUCAGUGAGACUCUGAUUCUA
This 122-nucleotide small RNA is filed under the name Marmota monax (woodchuck). The record is from RNAcentral. Lineage: Eukaryota; Metazoa; Chordata; Mammalia; Rodentia; Sciuridae.